Podarcis lilfordi (Lilford's wall lizard) is the source of this 132-nucleotide non-coding RNA. The record is from the annotation of a GenBank genome assembly. NCBI's taxonomy places the organism in Eukaryota, Metazoa, Chordata, Lepidosauria, Squamata, Lacertidae.
GAAGGGGAGCGAGAGAGAGAGAGCGAGGAGGAGGACGCGGGCGCGCGCGCGCACAGGCAGAAACAGGCCGCUGCUUUACCCGUCGCCGCGCGCCCCGCUCUCCUCCUCCUCCCCCUCCCUCUCUAUUUAUUU